This 253-nucleotide ribosomal RNA is filed under the name uncultured bacterium. RNAcentral describes it as "partial 16S ribosomal RNA". It matches the Rfam family "Bacterial small subunit ribosomal RNA", at positions 524 to 776 of the family's 1533-position model. The record is from RNAcentral.
UACAGAGGGUGCGAGCGUUAAUCGGAAUUACUGGGCGUAAAGCGUGCGUAGAUGGUUAUGUAAGUCGGAUGUGAAAGCCCCGGGCUCAACCUGGGAAUUGCAUUCGAGACUGCCUAGCUAGGAUGCGGAAGAGGGAAGCGGAAUUUCCGGUGUAGCGGUGAAAUGCGUAGAUAUCGGAAGGAACACCAGUGGCGAAAGCGGCUUCCUGGUCCAGCAUCGACGUUCAGGCACGAAAGCGUGGGGAGCAAACAGG